GCCAUAGCUGAAUGCAUCUAGAUCGCUGACAUGGUCGUGUUUGAGGAUUAGAUAGGAAUGCAAAUCCAAUGUUUGCAAUGAGGUCUUACACACACCUUGAUCAAACGAUGGACACAACACCACAUGUCUUAAUCCUGUCGUCCCGGGCCUUUAGAUACUUAAGCUCAAAUUUUGCAUUUGUUUUGUUUUUUCAUCUUUACUUUUGUCGAACGCCCUCUCUCUUUCUUCCCUCUUCUCACAUUCUCCCUGUUCUCUCUGUUAUUCCAUCGAGUUCCUUUUGAGCUUUCUGAAGCUCCACUCAAAACCAUGGAUCUCUCUCACCCUUCUCUCACCCUCUCUGAUCCUCUCCUCUCUUGUCUCUCUUCUUUCUUUCUCACCCUCUGUUUCUCUGUCUUCUCCUAAUCCCCUCUCGGCUUCUUUUUUUCUUUCUUCCUUUCUAAUUUCAGACUUCAAAAGACCUGAUCAGCUUUCUUCUAUGCUUCUCUCAAAUUCUCUCAAACCUCCUGUAGCCAUUUGAGGCCCCAGACCGAAGGUCACACCCUGAAUACCAUAGAGUGUUCCCAGGAGCAGGGUUGAACAUGGGUACAACUAAUCAAACCAUUGAAGACCUAACCAAGCUAAGUGUUCCUUAUCCCCCCUUUUCAUUUUCAGUCUUUGUUUUUGUUUUUUGUUCUUAUUGUGAAAAAUACUGGUGAUGUUUCGGCUGUGUCAUGUAUGUUGAUGGUGAGAUGUUAGGGUUUCAAGUGGACUAGUGGGGUCGAAGACGAGUGACUCGGUGAGUGUGUGAGUUAAACCAGGGUUAACUCGUGCAAGUCAACCUGGGUGAGUUAAGUGAGCUCGAGUGAGUUUCAGUGGGCCUAACAAGGUGAGGCUUGCAUGUGUCUGGGUCACACGUGGGCCUUUAGGGGUUGCUGAUAAUCAUAGACUUGGGCGAGUUGGCUCUUGAAAUGGGCCAAAGUUAAAAAAAAUGGGCCGGCCCAAUUUAACUUAUAAAACAGAGGCCCCUUGAGAUUUUGAAAAAAAAAAAUGAGCUGGCCCAAAUUAACUUUUAAAAUAGGAGCCUGUUGAGAUUUUGAGAAAAAAAAAAAAUGGGCCGGUUUUAUUUUUCAAAACAGGAUUGGCCCAACUCAAUUUAAAACAUCAGGGUCUGUAAUCCUCCUUUUCUAAAACAAGGUCGGCCCACUUACAAGGCCCGGGUUAGGUUUUGAAGUGGGCUAAGGGUUUUACUCCAAAUGGGGCUCCGGGUUUGGGAUUUUAGAUUGGGUUGGCCUGGUUAUCUGGUUCAGGUUUGGGUCAUAGCCCCAGGUUCGGGUUUGACAAUCUGGUUUAAAGGAUUCAGGUAUUUUGUGGGUGUUUAAAGGGUUCGAACCCGAGUUCGGGUUCGGGUCAGGUGUUCGGAUCUGAGCUUUGUGGAAUGGUCUAAUCUCAAACCCAUUUCAGGUUUAAGUAUAAACCUGCAAUCCUAGAAGAUUUCUCUACAUUCAAAUUCACAUGCAUGACUUAAUUGAAACAGAAAUGAGGGCUUCAAAUUUUACCUUCCUUUCUCCUCUCCUCCUGUCUUCUUUGCUUCCCCGCUUCUUUCCGUAUCUUCCUAGAUAUCUAGUGGGGAACCGGCUCCUCAGUUUUGGACUCUAGACUCAGAAUAAGAUGACACCACAGGGUGUCCUAUGUAUUCUGAAUAGUGUGGUAUGCUCGAAAUGCAACCUCGACCGCUCUGUGGACUACAGAGCUUUCUGAAUUUAGUGACCCUCUCUCUGACUCUCUGGUUUGCACAAGUCUCUCCCUAGUUCUACAAAAUUGCUCUGCUACUCUUUCUUCUUUCUAAACUGGCAGAACCUCCCCUCUCUUCUAAAUUUUUUUCUCUCUUAAUUUUCACAGAGUACUCUUGUGCUCUCUUCCCCCCACCCCCCCUCCCCCCUCGGAGGUCUUUGCUACAGUGAGACUCCCUAUUUAUAGGGAGUCUGGGGUGGCCUUUAGCGCCAAUUUCCUCUGCAAUAUUCCCUUCUAAAGAACUGUGUCAAGGAAUGAUUCUUUAUUCUCUGCACAUGUGAUUUCUUUUCUCCUUUUUUGAUUUUACGCAUUUUUGGUUAAUUAAUUGCCCUCACUUUUGUACGCAGGUGAUCUUGGCCAAGUGGCAAUCCAGGACUGGCGAGCUUUUCAGGCUACUCCAACCUAGCAAACUCAGAUUGGAGGAUCAGGCAUUUUAGUUUCAGUUUUUAGUUUUUAUUUCUUUUAAUUUUCCUUUUUGCCUUUGUGUUUCCUUUUGUUUGCUGAUGUUACCCCGAGUAAAAUUUCCUACAACAUUUAUUUGUACACUUUACUAGUGUUCUACAAUUGGAAACCUACAUAUAUUACUUCCCUACACCCCACAUGUAUUAUUUGCCUGAGUGUAUCACUUUUGUAUGUGCUCCCUCUGAAUCGAAUUGUGACGCAUGCACUUUUUAGUUUGUAUCACUCCCGCACGUGCUCCCUUCGAAUCAAACUGUGAUGCAUGCAUUUAUCUAUUUUUUAAUAAAACGUGGCCUUAAGUUGUUUUUGAAUUUUGACCAGCAACCCCAACUUCACUAUUGACUUUUCCAAAAGAAAACCCUAGUUAUAAAAAUGACCUUUGAGACUCAAUUAAAAACUUGAUUCAAAAAUUGAGAGACUUACUCUGAAAUUUGUUAGACUUAGUUUAGAAACUCAAUUUAAACAUUUAACAAAAAAUUCAUAUCAAAAGUUUGACUAACUCGCUUAAGAAUGACUCACUUAAAGAAUUCCCAAACCCAAAUUAAAAAAAAAAAUGGGUAUUUUCAAAAUAAGAGGGCAACAUUUAAAGCUCAAUGGACUUGGUUUCAAAUUUUUGAAUAUUUUAAUUAUUGGGACUCAAUUUUGAAAACCUAAUAAAAGAAGACUAGUUUAACUAAAUUUGAAGAAACGUGGCUCAAAAGGACUCAAUUUUUGAGUUUUUUAAAGACUUGAUGUAAGAACCCGACUCUUGAUAAUGGUUUUUAAAUAUUUAAAGAGAAGGGCAUUUUGGUAAAAGAGCAUGCCUCGUCAACAAAGCUAGAUUUCAUCGACGAAGUCUUAGUCCUUCUCGUCGACGAAAUUCAGGGGCUCGUCGACAAGGAAAUGCCAAGGGUUCUGGAGAAAUUGAAAUAUCAGUCUCGUCAACGAGGCCACCAUCUCGUUGACAAAGCCAAUGGCGGACUCUUCGACGAGGACGCCAAUUCGUCGACGAAUCCACCCAGGUCAAAGGCUCUUUAAAAGGAUAUUUUGAAUUGCUUAGUAGUGAAGUAGUGGUUUCUCUCUCUCUCUCUCUCUCUCUCUCUAGGAACUUAGGAUUCACUCUCUCUCUCUAGAUUUCUUCACUGAUCGUUGCUGGAAUCGGGAAUCUGAAGUUACCACAAGGAUUGUGGAUGGAUUCUCUACAAGUUCUACGGAUCGGAAUCCCAUUUCGGAGAUUUUUGGGUUUGGGCGUAAAAUCGAGGUUUUGGAACUCAGUUCGCUGUUUAGGGGCCUUGGAGUUUGGGAUUUGCUAUUCGAGGAAAAGGUCCUUUGAGUAACCAGAACUAGCAUCCUGGUGUAGGGAGCGUAGUGGCCUGCGUACUGCGGUUAGUGCUUGGGUCCUUCGAGUAACCAAUUCUAACGUCCUGGUGUAGAAAGCGUAGUGGCCGGCGUACUGCAGUUAGCGCUCAGGUAAGUGCUAGGACUGUAUUUUUGGUGGGUUGCCAUUUUGAGAUGUGUUUAGGCACUUAUUUGUAAGUUUUUUAUAGAGCUGUAUUCUGCUCUUGUAUAGACUCUGGUAUGGUACUGUAUAAAUAUAUAUAUAUAUAUAUAGAAUGACCUUUUCCGC
Malania oleifera is the source of this 3835-nucleotide long non-coding RNA. RefSeq lists it as uncharacterized. The transcript is spliced from 4 exons. NCBI's taxonomy places the organism in Eukaryota, Viridiplantae, Streptophyta, Magnoliopsida, Santalales, Ximeniaceae. The record is from RefSeq and is a predicted model, not a curated record.